RNAcentral lists this ribosomal RNA (242 nucleotides) under uncultured Bacteroidota bacterium. RNAcentral describes it as "uncultured Bacteroidetes bacterium partial 16S ribosomal RNA". It matches the Rfam family "Bacterial small subunit ribosomal RNA", at positions 796 to 1041 of the family's 1533-position model. The record is from RNAcentral. Lineage: Bacteria; Pseudomonadati; Bacteroidota.
CACGCCUUAAACGAUGUUCACUCGCUGUUUGCGAUAUACCGUAAGCGGCCAAGCGAAAGCAUUAAGUGAACCACCUGGGGAGUACGUCGGCAACGGUGAAACUCAAAGGAAUUGACGGGGGCCCGCACAAGCGGAGGAACAUGUGGUUUAAUUCGAUGAUACGCGAGGAACCUUACCUGGGCUUAAAUGUAGGCUGCAUUCCGCUGAAAGGUGGAUUUCCGCAAGGACUGCUUACAAGGUGC